This 434-nucleotide ribosomal RNA is filed under the name uncultured bacterium. RNAcentral's name for it is "bacterial SSU rRNA". It matches the Rfam family "Bacterial small subunit ribosomal RNA", at positions 29 to 507 of the family's 1533-position model. The record is from RNAcentral.
AACGAACGCUGGCGGCAUGCCUAACACAUGCAAGUCGAACGAUGCCUUCGGGCAUAGUGGCGCACGGGUGCGUAACGCGUGGGAAUCUGCCCUUGGGUUCGGAAUAACUCAGAGAAAUUUGAGCUAAUACCGGAUGAUGACGUAAGUCCAAAGAUUUAUCGCCCAAGGAUGAGCCCGCGUAAGAUUAGCUAGUUGGUGGGGUAAAGGCCUACCAAGGCGACGAUCUUUAGCUGGUCUGAGAGGAUGAUCAGCCACACUGGGACUGAGACACGGCCCAGACUCCUACGGGAGGCAGCAGUGGGGAAUAUUGGACAAUGGGCGAAAGCCUGAUCCAGCAAUGCCGCGUGAGUGAUGAAGGCCUUCGGGUUGUAAAGCACUUUUGAGAGGAUGAGGAAGGACGGUACGUCUCAGAAUAAGUCUCGGCUAACUACGUG